RNAcentral lists this transfer RNA (75 nucleotides) under Cordylochernes scorpioides. RNAcentral's name for it is "tRNA-Thr". Lineage: Eukaryota; Metazoa; Arthropoda; Arachnida; Pseudoscorpiones; Chernetidae. The record is from RNAcentral.
UGUCCAGGAAUGGGAAUCGAACCCACAGUGUUCCGCUUACCGGGCAGAUGCCAUGUCCACUAAGCUGCCCUGGAC